This 303-nucleotide ribosomal RNA is filed under the name Sellaphora capitata. RNAcentral's name for it is "eukaryotic LSU rRNA". It matches the Rfam family "Eukaryotic large subunit ribosomal RNA", at positions 1 to 311 of the family's 3401-position model. The record is from RNAcentral. Lineage: Eukaryota; Bacillariophyta; Bacillariophyceae; Sellaphorales; Sellaphoraceae.
UCUGAUCUCAGAUCAAGCAAGAAGACCCGCCGAAUUUAAGCAUAUAAUUAAGCGGAGGAAAAGAAACUAACCAGGAUUCCCCUAGUAAGGGCGACUGAAGCGGGAAUAGCUCACGAUGUGAAUCAGCGCUGCUUUGUGGCGCCGAAUUGUGGUCUGAAAACGUUUGCAUUACUGGCGGGGCCAAGUCCCUUGGAACAGGGCAGCCGAGAGGGUGAGACUCCCGUGUGCCCUGCCUUUGGAGCGAGCGUUUGACGAGUCGAGUUGUUUGGGAUUGCAGCUCUAAGUGGGUGGUAAAUUCCAUCU